AGAGUUUGAUCAUGGCUCAGAUUGAACGCUGGCGGCAUGCCUUACACAUGCAAGUCGAACGCGAAAGUGGGGGCAACCCUGCGAGUAGAGUGGCGAACGGGUGAGUAACACAUCGGAACGUACCCAGGAGUGGGGGACAACCUCGAGAAAUCGAGGCUAAUACCGCAUACGUCCUGAGGGAGAAAGCGGGGGACUCGCAAGAGCCUCGCGCUCAUGGAGCGGCCGAUGUCGGAUUAGCUAGUUGGCGGGGUAAAGGCCCACCAAGGCUACGAUCCGUAGCUGGUUUGAGAGAACGACCAGCCACACUGGGACUGAGACACGGCCCAGACUCCUACGGGAGGCAGCAGUGGGGAAUUUUGGACAAUGGGGGCAACCCUGAUCCAGCCAUGCCGCGUGAGUGAAGAAGGCCUUCGGGUUGUAAAGCUCUUUCGGCCGGAACGAAAUCGCGUACGUGAACAACGUGCGUGGAUGACGGUACUGGAAGAAGAAGCACCGGCUAACUACGUGCCAGCAGCCGCGGUAAUACGUAGGGUGCGAGCGUUAAUCGGAAUUACUGGGCGUAAAGCGUGCGUAGGCGGUUUUGUAAGUCAGAUGUGAAAUCCCCGGGCUUAACCUGGGAACUGCGUUUGAAACUACAGAGCUAGAGUACGGCAGAGGGGGGUGGAAUUCCCGUGUAGCAGUGAAAUGCGUAGAUAUGUGGAGGAACACCGAUGGCGAAGGCAACCCCCUGGGCCGAUACUGACGCUGAGGCACGAAAGCGUGGGGAGCAAACAGGAUUAGAUACCCUAGUAGUCC
This 795-nucleotide ribosomal RNA is filed under the name uncultured bacterium. RNAcentral's name for it is "bacterial SSU rRNA". It matches the Rfam family "Bacterial small subunit ribosomal RNA", at positions 8 to 796 of the family's 1533-position model. The record is from RNAcentral.